GUGCGCAGGGCAGAGCAGUCCCGGUGUGUAUUGUGUCACUUGUCUAUUGUGCAUUCUGUGUGUUUGGCUGUCUCAUGUGUUUUACCUUAGCCCUUUGAGGGGCCUAUCAGAAACUCUGGCAUCUUUCUUAGCAUCUGUGAUCUCUGCAUUUCUUGGCCUGGCACCAGUGCCAUAGGGCUUUUGACUCAGGAGCUCAGACAGGCAUCAGAAUUGCAUUUCUCUUUGGAAGCAUCCAGUCAGAUGUCUUGGAAGGUCUUGUUCCGAGCCGUACGGACAGCUGCGCCUCGCAAGGAUCCAUUAUUGCGGAUUAGGACUUGUAAGAAGUAGAGGAUUCUGACCGUAGGAUUCACAGGCAUCCGUCUUUGCAGUUCUUAGAAGAAAUCAUUCAGUUAGCAUCUUCUUCCUCCAGGGUUCUGUGAGCCUCAUCAGCUUGCCGUCAGUCUAACCUCGGUCAUCUAAUGUUGCAUUCUGUCGGUCCUUGCAGUCAUUCUCCUUGCCAAGUGAUUUCUGUCUCUGUUGUGUCCCCGUUGUUUGUCACGUCCUGUCCUGUGUCACGGGUGUCUGCACAUAUUUGUGCCGGAGCUGCUCUGCCCUGCCGCAUAGCCUGGUGUGCUAGGACAAAUCCUGGGGGCUUGAAAUUUGUAGUGUGGGGAGUAGUUGGAUUCUAGAUGUGAUUUGUAGAUGGACCCAAGAUGUCUGGAGCUGUGAGGUUGUCCUGCAGCCCUUUGACUUUUGUCCUGACUUUCUUUCAGGUGCAGACGGAUAAAAUCGAUAGCAGAGCACCCCAACCCAGGAAGUAAAGCCAUCUAGCAGCAGUCAAGGUGAGGUGGUCAAGGUGGUCCACUUGCAUCCCAUGCCAGCCAAGGAUGCCUGAUGCCAGGU
Long non-coding RNA from Onychostruthus taczanowskii (white-rumped snowfinch), 882 nucleotides. RefSeq lists it as uncharacterized. The record is from RefSeq and is a predicted model, not a curated record. The transcript has 3 exons. NCBI's taxonomy places the organism in Eukaryota, Metazoa, Chordata, Aves, Passeriformes, Passeridae.